This 574-nucleotide ribosomal RNA is filed under the name uncultured Bacteroidota bacterium. RNAcentral describes it as "bacterial SSU rRNA". It matches the Rfam family "Bacterial small subunit ribosomal RNA", at positions 93 to 663 of the family's 1533-position model. The record is from RNAcentral. Lineage: Bacteria; Pseudomonadati; Bacteroidota.
GACCGGCAAACGGGUGCUGGAACACGUACAGAACCUUCCUUUAAGUGGGGCAUAGCCCGGAGAAAUCCGGAUUAAUACCCCGUAAUAUUAAGUUGUGGCAUCACAUUUUAAUUAAAGAUUUAUCUCUUAGAGAUGGCUGUGCGGCUGAUUAGGUAGUUGGUGUAGGUAAAGGCUCACCAAGCCAACGAUCAGUAACUGGUGUGAGAGCACGACCAGUCACACGGGCACUGAGACACGGGCCCGACUCCUACGGGAGGCAGCAGUAAGGAAUAUUGGUCAAUGGAGGCAACUCUGAACCAGCCAUGCCGCGUGAAGGAUGAAGGCCCUCUGGGUUGUAAACUUCUUUUAUCUGGGACGAAACACUCUUAUUCUUAAGAGCUUGACGGUACCAGAGGAAUAAGCACCGGCUAACUCCGUGCCAGCAGCCGCGGUAAUACGGAGGGUGCAAGCGUUAUCCGGAUUCACUGGGUUUAAAGGGUGCGUAGGUGGGUUUGUAAGUCAGUGGUGAAAUCUCCGUGCUUAACAUGGAAACUGCCAUUGAUACUAUAGGUCUUGAAUUUUCUGGAGGAUAGCG